This 328-nucleotide ribosomal RNA is filed under the name uncultured Bacteroidota bacterium. Its description in RNAcentral is "bacterial SSU rRNA". It matches the Rfam family "Bacterial small subunit ribosomal RNA", at positions 28 to 351 of the family's 1533-position model. Lineage: Bacteria; Pseudomonadati; Bacteroidota. The record is from RNAcentral.
GAUGAACGCUAGCGGGAGGCUUAACACAUGCAAGUCGAGGGGCAGCACGAGGUAGCAAUACUUUGGUGGCGACCGGCGCACGGGUGAGUAACGCGUAUGCAACCUACCCUGUACUGGGAGAUAACCCGGAGAAAUUCGGAUUAAUACCCCAUAAUGAUAUUUGAAGGCAUCUUUAAAUAUUUAAAGCUUCGGCGGUACGGGAUGGGCAUGCGUGACAUUAGCUAGUUGGUAAGGUAACGGCUUACCAAGGCUUCGAUGUCUAGGGGUCCUGAGAGGGUGAUCCCCCACACUGGUACUGAGACACGGACCAGACACCUACGGGUGGCAG